CAGAGAAGAGCUUUGAGAGCACCGAUGUUUUGCUAUGCCUCUCAACUGAAGCUACCUUCUUCCUCCUCCACCGAAGCCAACAACGUCGUUCGUGUAGCCGCCGUCGAAGCUCUGCUUGUUCGCUCACCUCAGCUGUGAUUUUUUUCAAGUUCCUGCUGUUCGUCUGUCCCCUCUGCUGCUGAUUCAAGAAUGAAAAGUUUUUCUUUCUCUUAGCUCCUGGUUCGCGUGGGUAUAAAAGAUUUGGUUUUCUUCACUGUUCAUCAUCGUUCUCUUUCCUCUGUUCGUGCGUGUUGAUUCAUUAGAGGGUGUGUGGAAGAACAAGACCCUGAAAAACUUAAAAGAAGAAUACUUUCGAGAGUUAGAACUUCAACAGAUUGGUUAGCUGACGCCGAUUCUACCAGCGACCUCAAAAAAGGGCAACUAGCUACAGUGGGUGGAUAUUUUGAUUGGUAUUAUUGUCUUUAUGUAAAUAUAUAAUUUGUAUGUCCUUUUGAUUUAAGAGAAAGAAUAGAUGCUCCACAUAGGUUGUUAAUAAACUUUAUUUUUUUUAUCUGUAUAUGGGUUGUUGGCUGGAAGGAGCUACGCUCCUAAUUUAUACUGUUAUCUGUCAAAAUUUUGUUGUAGAAUUUUCGGGAGAUCUUUGUUACAGGGAAGUUCUGCCGAAAUUUCUACAAAAAUAUCGACACUCUUUUAUGAUAUUGAUCUAAUAAGUUAUUUUAA
Long non-coding RNA from Prosopis cineraria, 720 nucleotides. RefSeq lists it as uncharacterized. The record is from RefSeq and is a predicted model, not a curated record. The transcript has 4 exons. Lineage: Eukaryota; Viridiplantae; Streptophyta; Magnoliopsida; Fabales; Fabaceae.